RNAcentral lists this ribosomal RNA (419 nucleotides) under bacterium. Its description in RNAcentral is "partial 16S ribosomal RNA". It matches the Rfam family "Bacterial small subunit ribosomal RNA", at positions 355 to 776 of the family's 1533-position model. The record is from RNAcentral.
UGGGGGAUAUUGCACAAUGGGCGAAAGCCUAAUGCAGCGACGCCGCGUGGGGGAUGAAGGCCUUCGGGUUGUAAACUUCUUUUGCUCUGAACAAGGCGCACCAUGGGGUGUGUUGAGUGUAGGGGUUGAUUAGCGCCGGCUAACUACGUGCCAGCAGCCGCGGUAAUACGUAGGGCGCGAGCGUUGUCCGGAAUUAUUGGGCGUAAAGGGCUUGUAGGUGGCUGGUUGCGUCUGUCGUGAAAGCUCAUGGCUUAACUGUGGGUUUGCUGUGGGUACGGGCUGGCUUGAGUGCAGUAGGGGAGGGUGGAAUUCCUGGGGUAGCGGUGGAAUGCGCAGAUAUCAGGAGGAAUACCGGUGGCGAAGGCGGGUCUCUGGGCUGUUACUGACACUGAGGAGCGAAAGCAUGGGGAGCGAACAGG